GGCCACUGCUAUCGGGCUCCGACUAAGCCAUGCGAGUCUAGGGGCUCUUCGGAGCACCGGCGGACUGCUCAGUAACACGUGGACAACCUACCCUCGGGUGGGGGAUAACCUCGGGAAACUGAGGCUAAUACCCCAUAGACCUCGGAUACUGGAAUGUUCCGAGGCUGAAAGCUCUGGCGCCCGAGGAUGGGUCUGCGACCUAUCAGGUAGUUGGUGGUGUAAAGGACCACCAAGCCUACGACGGGUACGGGCCCUGAGAGGGGAAGCCCGGAGAUGGACUCUGAGACACGAGUCCAGGCCCUACGGGGCGCAGCAGGCGCGAAACCUUCGCAAUGUGCGAAAGCACGACGAGGGGAGCCCGAGUGCCCUUCCUUCGGGGAGGGCUUUUCUGGAGCCUAAAAAGCUCCAGGAAUAAGGGCUGGGCAAGACGGGUGCCAGCCGCCGCGGUAAUACCCGCAGCUCAAGUGGUGGCCGCUUUUAUUGAGCCUAAAGCGUCCGUAGCCGGACCCGUAAAUCCCUGGGUAAAUCCUGGCGCUCAACGUCAGGAAUUCCGGGGAGACUGCGGGUCUUGGGACCGGGAGAGGCUGGAGGUACUCCCGGGGUAGCGGUGAAAUGCUGUAAUCCUGGGGGGACCACCUGUGGCGAAAGCGUCCAGCUUGAACGGCUCCGACGGUGAGGGACGAAGGCCAGGGGAGCGAACCGGAUUAGAUACCCGGGUAGUCCUGGCUGUAAACGCUGCCCGCUUGGUGUUGCCGGUCUUUCGGGGGCCGGCAGUGCCGGAGCGAAGGUGUUAAGCGGGCCGCUUGGGAAGUACGGCCGCAAGGCUGAAACUUAAAGGAAUUGGCGGGAGAGCACUGCAACGGGAGGAGCGUGCGGUUU
RNAcentral lists this ribosomal RNA (879 nucleotides) under uncultured euryarchaeote. RNAcentral's name for it is "bacterial SSU rRNA". It matches the Rfam family "Archaeal small subunit ribosomal RNA", at positions 22 to 903 of the family's 1478-position model. Lineage: Archaea; Methanobacteriati; Methanobacteriota. The record is from RNAcentral.